CAUGCUUUACACAUGCAGGUCGAACGGUAACAGGUCUUCGGAUGCUGACGAGUGGCGAACGGGUGAGUAAUGCAUCGGAACGUGCCCAGUCGUGGGGGAUAACGCAGCGAAAGCUGCGCUAAUACCGCAUACGCCUGAGGGGAAGCGGGGACCGUAAGGCCUCGCGCGAUUAGAGCGGCCGAUAUCUGAUUAGCUUGUUGGUGGGGUAAAAGCCCACCAAGGCGACGAUCAGUAGCUGGUCUGAGAGGACGAUCAGCCACACUGGGACUGAGACACGGCCCAGACUCCUACGGGAGGCAGCAGUGGGGAAUUUUGGACAAUGGGGGCAACCCUGAUCCAGCAAUGCCGCGUGAGUGAAGAAGGCCUUCGGGUUGUAAAGCUCUUUUGUCAGGGAAGAAACAGCAGCUCUAACACAGUCUGCGAAUGACGGUACCUGAAGAAUAAGCACCGGCUAACUACGUG
Molecule: ribosomal RNA, 462 nt
Filed under: uncultured bacterium
Lineage: Bacteria
Description: bacterial SSU rRNA
Rfam family: Bacterial small subunit ribosomal RNA
Source: RNAcentral